GUACAGAUGGCUGGCACGGCCUCUUUAAAGGCUUAACCACUCUUGUUAAUUGAUAAUCAUGUCCUGGGUGCCAAAAUUGAGUAUUUAAUGAAUACCUGAACAUAGGUUCAGUGCUCAAUCAUAAGCCUACCAGUGAUUUCAUCUAGUGUUUGUUUUGUGCUCAGUCUCUCCAUCUUAUUUUUUCAAGAUAGCAGCGCAACACAGUUUGAAGCGGCCUCUCCGGAGUUGAUAUCUGUUAUUUGUCAAGUGGGGUGCCGUGCACAAUCCUAAUCUGAUGAAAAACGGACGUGGGAGCACGGAGGAACAUCUGGAAAUCUCCAGGAAGGCCUUCUUUAUUGAUGCUGCUGUUGUGAAGUCUGGGUCUCUGCUGGGAAGAACAGGCCCCCAGUCCUCGGGAUCACGUUGCUGGUGGCCAGUGGUGGGGGCAUCAUAGUGCGCUUGGCAGAAGAUGGUGCUCAGAGGGGCUGUGCCAGAGGGGAUGGUCGGAAGCUCGGAAGUUCGAGGGACUCGGAGUCUGCUGUGGUUGGGGCGCUUUCACUGUGUGCUGCGUCUGUGAGGCUGAGCCCGACGGAGCUUUUAUUGUGUGUUGCGUCUGUGAGGCUGAGUCCGGCAGUGCCGUGGAAGUCCAUAGUGGGGGUAUUCGCUUCUGCCGCCUGCGUGGGAUGACGAGUCUAUCGAGACCCUGAGGAUUUGUGGAAAUUGUGUGGUGGUUUCUUUUGAACUUAUAGUCUUUUAACAUCUUUGGACUAUCUUUACUGUGCCCAUGAUCUGUUUUUUUUUCUCAAUUAUGCUAUUGUUUGCACUGUUGUAACUAUAUGUUGUAACUAUGUGGUUUUGUGUAGGUCUUGUAGCUUUAGUUUUUGGUUUGUUGGGUGCUAGAGUUGGUCUCCUGACUUGGUGUGUCUGGGUAGUCUUGUUUUGUCUGGUUGAUUUGGAGCUCCUUUCCGGGGAACGCGCUAAGACGGUAGUGCGAUAUUAAUAUGGAGCAGCCUCUCCGGACUCUGGAUUUGGGGAUUGCCAAAUGUUAUGUGGAUUUCUGGUGUAGUCUGUUUUGUCAUGUGCUUUUGUGAUAUCAUUCUGGAGGACGUUGUUUCAUUUUUUAACUGCAUUGCAUUUGUGGUUUCUAAAUGACAAUAAACCGAAAUUCAAUUCAAUUUGAGCCUACGUCUCGAUCCCAGCCUCAGAUACUCCAGCAUUUGGGUGCAAGUCUGUCUCACCGAGGACUCUGGUCACAGUAUGACUGAGCCCAGCUGGUUAUCAGAGUCUGUUGUCUGCUGUGACCAGCCACAGCGAAGACGUUUCCGGACAGAACCUAGAGGUUCACAAACUCCAGGUAGCCAUGGGUCAUCUUUUGCAAGGAGGAAGUCCAGGUCACUUGGGAGAACCAGUCAGUUGCACUCCAGAGCUGUACAUCUUCCAACCCCGGGGAGAUUCGAUGGUAACCCGGGCUCUUGCCACAGCUUCCUCAUUCAAUGCUCAUUAGUAUUUGAACUUCAGCUGGUGCCCUUCAGAGAGCAGGAAAGUGGCCUUCAUUAUCUCUCUCCUGACUGGAAGAGUCCGGGCAUUGAGUUCUGCGUGUAUUCAGAAGAGUUCAUGGCUGCCGUGAGGAGGGUGUUUCAUCACCUCAAAGGAGCCAGCCGAGCCUCUGAUGAACAUUCAACAGUGGGGAUGGUCAGCCGCCGACUACACGAUGGAAUUUCUGACCUUGGUUCUACUGUGGGGAAGCGGGUCACCUGGGAGCCGACUGUCCAAAGCUGCUGCCACCUGGGGAACUGCUAAGACCAUCCAGUAUAGGGAGGACUGCGAUGGUAGCAGCCGCUACUCCCAAUCCUGCGAUUCUGGUUUCAUGCCAAAAGCAGAAUCCACUUGGGGUGAGAGCUUGAGAUAGGUGAAGGCCUUUGUGGACUUGUGGGCAGCAGGUUAUUUUCUGGAUUUAGAAACUGCUUAUUGACUGCAAGAAUUGAGACAGUCCUUGCCUGCAGCUGUCUUGAUGGCCGACUGCUAGGCCAAGGCAGAUCCAGCAACAGACUGUGGAAUUGCAGAUGAGGAUAGGAGAUCAUGAGGAAGACAUUAGCUUCUAGAUUAUUGACUCUCCACUCAUACCCCUGACCCUCUGGUACCCUUGGCUGUCCCAGCAUAACCCAUCCUUAGGCUGGAGAGAGAGGAGAAUCACUGCUUGGUCCAGUCAUUGUAAGAGGUUUUAUUUACAGUAGGAUGUUCUGACACCUAGACUCUCUAAUAACCAACAACCUAUAAUGGGGCAGGCUUCAGUGCAAGAGAUUCUGAGACCUUCUGGAGACCUAGUCGGGUCCUCAAGAGUGGACAAGCUGGUUCCGGCCAAUGGGAUAGGGUGAGUUCUGACACAGUCUAGUUGGAGUCCCACAGGAGGGAAUUUCUAGGUCAGGAGAAGACCAAGGAGAUGCCUAGGCAGUCUGAGCUACUUGCCACUAAGCUGAAGGGAACCGGCCGCCAGAUCUCAAGGAAGGGAAAGACUCCUUUAUGCUGAUCAUUGAAGCCUAAUCACAGGGAUGCAAGAACCUUUUGUAAUGCCUCGCUGCAGUUGUCCGUGGAUACAGACGGGGAGUCGGACUCUGAUUUGCCCAGUGGUUCCACGGGUGAACUUUGUGAGCUCAGAGAGAGGACUCUGAAGCCCAUUGAAUCACUCCCGUCUCCAAGGAGGUCUCAGGAGUUGUCCUCAAAGGAAGGUCCGGAGGAGAUAGCAACACCCAAACUGGUUAAGACAUCCCUCUUUUUACAAGGACGGAGGAGGUCUUCAGCAAGGGAAAGGCCUCGACUCUUCCACCGCACUGAUGCUAUGACUCUGCCAUUGACCUGCGGCCCGGUACUUGUCCCCAUUUGUACGUUCUCUCAGGACCAGAGAGAAGCACCAUGGCAGAAUCGCCAUCAAUCAGUGCAGAUUUCUCCUUUGUACAAAAGAAAAAUGGUAGCCUGUGGCCAUAUAUUGAUCACAGCGGAUUAAAUUACAUAAUGAUCAGGAAUCACUAUCCCUUCCAUUUUAUGAAUACGCCCUUCGAGGUGCUCCAAGGGGAAAGGAUGUUCACAAAAUUAGACCUCUGGAUUGCCUACAACCUGGUUCUUAUCAGGGAGGAUGAGAAGUGGAAGAUGACACGCAAUACACAAACAAGCUGUUUUCAGUACCAGGUUCUACCCUUCGGCAUUGCGACUGCCCCAGCAGUUUUCCAGACCUUUAUAAAUGACAUGCUCCUAUAGAGCUUAGGAGGUUCAAUGGCACCCAAUGGCGGCUCCUUUGCUUGCAUCUGCAGAAACAGCUCUAUUUCCAUCUUUGAUCUCUAUUUUUCCUGUUCAGAGUUCUUUUGAAGACCCUGACCUGGAGUUACACUGGUCUUUUCAAGAAUGGGACCCGCUCUUAGAUUUUCAUGACUGGCCGUUGUUCGGCAUGCCAAGGAUAAUGCCUGAGAGUUUCGCUCACCUUCGGAGGGCCGAGAUCUCGUGGCUGUGGAGAUGGGUGGAUUGAAGGUUGGUGUCUGGGCUGAUCAGUGUGUCAUGGGAGUUGGAGGAUCUAAGGCUGUGUGCCUAGAGAUGCGAGAUCUUUAGAUACUAAGCUUGGAAAAAGUGAUGCAAUGGACUUUUAGCAUCCAGUUGUUUGUUAUGUCUCCCCUCUCACUGUAAAAUGGAGACACCUCUUUUUCCCUUAUUAUGGAGAGAGAAGGAGAGAGUCUGUGGUAUGUUGAAUACUGGGUGAACAGGCAGUGUUUGGAAUACUGCAAGUCUCUGUCUUUACUGUCUUUACCUCUAUUUUUCAUGGAUGGUUGCGAAGAAAAACAUUUCAGGAUGUACAGUUUCUCUGACAUUAAAUGUACUUUUGAAAUAGGCCUUCGACAACUUGGAUGAUAUCCUAACCUUUUCAAAGUCCAUGGAGGAGCACAUCACUCACAUCAGAGACAUUUUAAAGAGGCUGCAAUGCAGACAUUUGUCAAGAAUGGCCACACACCCAGUGAUUGGCAGAACCCUCAGGUUUAUCAAGAGGAGAUAUUGGUGUCCCAGAAAGAUGAAAGAAGUUUGACAGUACGUGCAGGCAUGUGAGGUGUGUGUCGGGAACAAGGAGCCCUGUAUCAAACCUCAAGGGCUCCUCCACCCCCUACCCAUUCCGAAACAACUUUGGUCACACAUCUCAAAGGACUUUGUCACGGAUCUCCUGCCAUCCAAUAGGAAGUUGUCAUCAUGGUGGUUGUCAAUUGGUUUUUGAAAGUUUCCAAGUUCAUUGCCUUGGAGAAGCUACCUUCUGAGGAAGAGACAGCAAGAUUAUUCUGGACCAGGUUUUCAGGGUCCACGGAUUUCCUGUGAACAUUUUUUCGGAUGAUGAUCCACAAUUCUCAUCACAUUUCUGGGUUCUUUUGAAGACCCUGACCUGGAGUUACACUCUGACUUUGGUUCUUUGCAAGAAUGGGACCCACACUUGGAGAGUCACGAUUGGUCAUUAUCCGACAUGCCAAGGGCACAGCCUAAGAGUUCAGCUUGCCUUUGGAGGCUGAGCAUGCUGGGGCUUUGGAGACGGGCGGAUCGAAGGUCAGUGUCCUGGACCGAUGUGUUGUAGGAGCUGGAAGAUCUUUGAUUGUGUGUCCAGAGACCUAAGAUCUUUGGGCACAGAGCUUGGAAAAAGCGACACAAUGGACUUUUAAUAUCGUAAAUCAGCGAGUUGUUUGUCUCCCCUCUUGCUGUGAAAUGGAGACAUCUCUUUCUCCUUUAUUAGGGAGAGAGAGGGCCUGUGGUAUGUCGAAUUACCGGGUGAACAAGUCGCCUUUGGGAGCAAGCCUUUCCUCUGGGCUUCAUCCACAAUCCAGUGGUCAGACGGAGUGGACCAACCAAGAUUUGGAACAUACCCUAAGAUGCCUGGCUUCAAAAAGACUUGAUGAGUGGUGCGACCAUUUGAUGUGGACAGAGAUAACCCACAACACCUAGUAGCACUCGGCUCAUGGGAUGUCACUGUUCGAGUGCCAGUUUGGUUAUCCUCUGCCUCUCUUUCCCGAACAAGAAGCCAAGGUUGAAGUCCCUGCAGCAGAAGAUUUUGUCCAAUACUGCAAGGAGAAAUGGAUAAGCGCAAGAGAGAUUUUGCUGGCCUCUAUCUGGAGAGCAGAGACUAAGACAGACCGAUGGAGUAGUCUGGGAGAAACAUUGUCUCAUUAGAUAGUAUACAUGUAUAGAGUAAAAUGACAAUAAACUUGACUUGAAACACAGCUACUCCACAUUUUAUGAAGGGGCUUCUUGGCUCAGUCUUGUCAUGAGUCGUUCUGGGGACAAAAGAGGAGAUGAAUGUGCUUUGCUGUAGUCUUGAGGCACAUAGGCAUUAAGCCCAUAAGAUAUUACAGCAGAAUUAGACCAUUUGGUCCAUCAAAUCUACUCCACAAGUUAGAUAUGUAUAGCAUUGAUUAGUGCUUAAAGUUACCAUGCAUCAUCUUGCUUUGCACACUGAUGGAUCCUGAAUUGAGCGCAUUAGUUACUAUUAGUAGGCAGUCCACCACCAUCUUUUUAAGGACAAUUUGCAAUGGCUAAUAAGGAUUCAUGAUGGCCUGCUUAAUUCCUCCAGCACUCUGUGUGUGUUGCAUAGGAUUUCCAUCUUCUGCAGUACCUCUGGUAUCGAUGAUGCCACUGUCUCAAGUGAAUAAUUCAGCUGGUAUGUUUAUUGACUACCCUCCAUAAGCCAAAAGCAUGUUGGCAGGAAGGAAUUAUCCUCCAAGAUAACCUUGCCGUGGUUUGGAAGUCUGCUUGACUCAAUGACCGGAAGAGCUAUGUAUGUUGGCUUUAUGCUUUGGCUCUCGGUAGGGUUACUCAUGCUAAACAGAUCAAAGGGUAGAGGCAAGACUAAGAGUGAUUCACCAGUCCUCCAGGUUUGGGGGUUCAGCUCAGAGCUAACAACCCUACCUGGUAAGACAAAUUUGUUACAGAAUCAACAAUGAAGAAUCUUUCUCUCUCUGCGCAUGGCAGUAUGGACAGACAGAGAUGGAGGGCCUUCAUUGCUGCCGUGAAUGCCAAUGGUGUAACAGGCAGUAAAAAAGGAAGGAAUUAUGACACAGAACAAACAACCUACCGUACAGGGUCUAGCCCCAAAAUUUCAGCUGUUUAUUUCCAUCUGUAGAUGCUGCCUUACAUAUUGCAUUCCUCCAGCAUUUUGUGUGUGUUAUCGCACAGUGGAUUUAUUUUACUCAGAAGACAAAGAAAGGUUAAAGAGCAGUAGAGAUGGGAAACACAAUGAAUAGAUUCCUAGUAUAAGUUUUCAUUUUUUAAUGCAUCAGGUAGAGGAUAGUCACAUACAAAUUAGGUAUGUGAAUAAAAUCCAUCUCAGUCAUUUAUAGUAGUGAGGCCACCAAGAGUAAUUGAAAUGGGAACCACAUCUCUAUCUCCUCUCUGGUGGUUUAUAAAAUGGUAACAAAAAUGCCUAAAAGCAAUAUGUUUACCAGCUUUAUAGUGCAGAUAAAAAAUGUGCAGAGCUGUGAAGCACAAGAAUAAAUUAUAUAGACAAAUAUGAAUUUAAAUUAAAACUCCAAAAUUUGACUCAGCA
Long non-coding RNA from Hypanus sabinus (Atlantic stingray), 6538 nucleotides. RefSeq lists it as uncharacterized. The transcript is spliced from 3 exons. The record is from RefSeq and is a predicted model, not a curated record. Lineage: Eukaryota; Metazoa; Chordata; Chondrichthyes; Myliobatiformes; Dasyatidae.